ACGGAAGGCAGCAGUGGGGAAUAUUGCACAAUGGGCGCAAGCCUGAUGCAGCAACGCCGCGUGAGGGAAGACGGUCUUCGGAUUGUAAACCUUUGUCUUUGGUGAAGAAGAAAGUGACGGUAGCCAAGGAGGAAGCCACGGCUAACUACGUGCCAGCAGCCGCGAUAAUACGUAGGUGGCAAGCGUUGUCCGGAAUUACUGGGUGUAAAGGGAGCGCAGGCGGGACUGCAAGUUGGAUGUGAAAUACCGGAGCUCAACUCCGGGGCUGCAUCCAAAACUGUAGUUCUUGAGUGGAGUAGAGGUAAGCGGAAUUCCGAGUGUAGCGGUGAAAUGCGUAGAUAUUCGGAGGAACACCAGUGGCGAAGGCGGCUUACUGGGCUCUAACUGACGCUGAGGCUCGAAAGCGUGGGGAGCAAACAGGAUUAGAUACCCUGGUA
Molecule: ribosomal RNA, 437 nt
Rfam family: Bacterial small subunit ribosomal RNA